GACCAGAAGAAGACUCAGAGAGAGAGAGAGAGAGGAGACCUCGACAGACACAGAGAGAGAAACAUCGACUGGCGAAGACCAGAAGAAGAAGGAAGAAGAUCGAAGCUGAGGAAGGAAGAAGAAGGUGUACCUUACGACGACGAGCGACGGCUGAGGAGCGACGACGAGCGACGACCGAUGACGAGCGACGGACGAGCGACUGACGAGCGACCAGGUUGUCUUUCUCCUCUGUUAUCUGUCUUCUCUCUUUCUCUUUUUGUUCUCUACUAACCUCUUAGAUCGAUUUAGGGCUUUUGAUUUAGGGCAAACAGAAUUUUUUUUGCUUUUUUACAGAUUGACCCCAAAAAUAUUUUAUAAAUUCUGAAAUUGACCCUAAAAAUGUUUUGUAAAUUCUGAAAUUGGCCCCGUGCGUGUCCGAAAGUGUCCAUAACGUGUCCUGGACGUGUCCGGCUUCAGAAAAAAUAAAAAAAAAAAUUGGACACUCUCUAGUGCGUGUCGGACACGUGUCCGCCGCGUGUCCGACGCGUGUCCGUGUCCGACACGUGUCCGACACUGGUACGGAGCCCUCGGAGAGGUGUCCGUGCUUCAUAGAGUGAGGGUUAUUAUACGGAGAUGUGGACUAAUGUCAUUGAUUUUUAUUCUAUGAAUGAAUUAAGUUGGAAUAGAAGUAAUAUUUUGUAUGUCCUUAAUUAAAACUAGACUUUAUUUCUUGGUUUUGAAUUUUCACAGUGUAAAGUCAGAUUACUUAUGCAGUGUUUGAAUUUUAAAUUUGUGGACGACAAGUAUAGAUAUAAAUUCUUUUCCUAAAAUAAAAAGUGUCUAAGUUGUGACCUCCAUGAAUAUGAGAAUUACAUGCCUCACUGUUAGCAUAUAAUUACAUGAACAUAUUGGAAAUAUGAGAAUUUUGAAACUUUCUAAUUGUUACUUCUCACGAAAUAUAUCUUUUAUAAACAAACUAUAGCAUUAAUUUGUUAAUUUUACGAAUAGUCACUAUCAAAGUCUAUCGAAAUGCCUUAGUACUCUAUAAUUUCUAGGGGGAAUUACAUUCUAGUGGGAUAGAAAAAAUUUUAUCACACAAAUAUGGAGGGAUGCAAGUCACACUUGCAAGAAUUACUUGCACCCCCCACAUGUUUUUGUAAUUUUUUUCUCUGUGCCCCAAUAUACUAUAAUUCCUCUCUCUCUCUCUCUCACUCACAUUUUAUGGAUAACUUUCAUCAUAGAUGAUUCUUCAUAUUGGAGGCAUGAUAGUGAUAUGAGUGGUACUAAUACAUGAAAGAAGCACUCCCAACCACUUCGAAUUAAUUCCCGUACCCACCACCUCCUGCACCACCAUUAUAAAUAUGAAUGGAUUUAUAUAAAGAAAUCUCAAAAAUCUUGUGUUGGGUACGUAAUGUGGAAAAAUGAAGUUGAUCAACCUAUUGUUUCUUUUGGGCUUGCUCUGGAUGCCCGACCUAGUUACUUGCCAAAGAACUUACAAUCAGUUCCAACUUGUCCAAGCUUGGAUACUGACCUUUUGCAAGAAAUACAGUGGUUGUUUUCCAAAUUUGGCGCCAAACUUCACCACCCUUCAUGGCCUUUGGCCAGCUACAAGAACCAAGAACUCAAUGUUGCAUUGUGGCACAAGGCGUCAGGAUAAUAAUAUUGGAACAUCCAAAUCGGAAGAAGAAAAGAAAGAAGAGAAGCAGACACAAAGAAGAAGAAGCUAACAAAGAGGAGAAGAAAAUAUAGGAAAAGAAACUGCAGAUAUGCAAAAACCUCAAGGGGUUGGCCUAGUGGCACAACUUGGGACCUGGGGAUGUGCUCCUUCCAGGUCUCAAUUUCACUACUCACUAGUUACAAUAAGCUCUUCGAGGCCAAUCCAUAUAGGGCGCUCACUCUGGCUUUAAAUGGAGCCCCCACAAGUGGGCGGUGGGAUUGGUCCACCGGGAUUAGUCGAGGUGCACUUAAGCUGGCCCGGAUACACAGUUAUAAAAAA
This is a non-coding RNA of Camellia sinensis, 1975 nucleotides long. NCBI's taxonomy places the organism in Eukaryota, Viridiplantae, Streptophyta, Magnoliopsida, Ericales, Theaceae. The record is from RefSeq and is a predicted model, not a curated record.